This 484-nucleotide ribosomal RNA is filed under the name uncultured bacterium. RNAcentral describes it as "partial 16S ribosomal RNA". It matches the Rfam family "Bacterial small subunit ribosomal RNA", at positions 28 to 523 of the family's 1533-position model. The record is from RNAcentral.
GACGAACGCUGGUGGCGUGCUUAACACAUGCAAGUCGAACGAUGAAGCCGGAGCUUGCUCUGGUGAAUUAGUGGCGAACGGGUGAGUAACACGUGAGUAACCUGCCCUUGACUCUGGGAUAACUGCUAGAAAUGGUAGCUAAUACCGGAUACGACCCUCGGAGGCAUCUCCAGGGGGUGGAAAGAAUUUCGGUCAAGGAUGGACUCGCGGCCUAUCAGCUAGUUGGUGAGGUAACGGCUCACCAAGGCGACGACGGGUAGCCGGCCUGAGGGGGUGACCGGCCCAACUGGGACUGGGACACGGCCCAGGCUCCUACGGGAGGCAGCAGUGGGGAAUAUUGCACAAUGGGCGCAAGCCUGAUGCAGCAACGCCGCGUGAGGGAUGACGGCCUUCGGCUUGUAAACCUCUUUUAGUAGGGAAGAAGCGAAAGUGACGGUACCUGCAGAAAAAGCACCGGCUAACUACGUGCCAGCAGCCGCCGUAA